GAUAAACGCUGGCGGCGUGCUUAACACAUGCAAGUCGAACGAAGUUUUUCCUUCGGGAGUAACUUAGUGGCGGACGGGUGAGUAACGCGUGGGUAACCUGCCCUGUACAGGGGGACAACAGCUGGAAACGGCUGCUAAUACCGCAUAAGCACUUAGCACUGCAUGGUGCAUAGGGAAAAGGAGCAAUCCGGUACAGGAUGGACCCGCGUCUGAUUAGCCAGUUGGCAGGGUAACGGCCUACCAAAGCGACGAUCAGUAGCCGAUCUGAGAGGAUGUACGGCCACAUUGGGACUGAGACACGGCCCAGACUCCUACGGGAGGCAGCAGUGGGGAAUAUUGCACAAUGGAGGAAACUCUGAUGCAGCGACGCCGCGUGAGUGAAGAAGUAUUUCGGUAUGUAAAGCUCUAUCAGCAGGGAAGAAAAUGACGGUACCUGACUAAGAAGCACCGGCUAAAUACGUG
Molecule: ribosomal RNA, 462 nt
Filed under: uncultured bacterium
Lineage: Bacteria
Description: partial 16S ribosomal RNA
Rfam family: Bacterial small subunit ribosomal RNA
Source: RNAcentral